Molecule: ribosomal RNA, 440 nt
Filed under: uncultured bacterium
Lineage: Bacteria
Description: bacterial SSU rRNA
Rfam family: Bacterial small subunit ribosomal RNA
Source: RNAcentral
CCUACGGGGGGCUGCAGUGGGGAAUAUUGCACAAUGGGGGAAACCCUGAUGCAUCAACGCCGCGUGAGCGCUGAAGGCCUUCGGGUCGUAAAGAUCUGUCCUAAGGGAAGAAUACUGACGGUACCUUAGGAGGAAGCCCCGGCUAACUACGUGCCAGCAGCCGCGGUAAUACGUAGGGGGCUAGCGUUAUCCGGAAUUUCUGGGCGUAAAGGGUGCGUAGGCGGCCCUUCAAGUCCGGGGUGAAAGGCUACGGAAUAACCGUAGUAAGCCUUUGAAGCUGUGGGGCUUGAGUACAGGGGAGGGCGGCUGGACUCCCAGUUUAUUCGUGAAAGUUGUAUAUAUUGGGAGGAAAACCACUUGCGAAUUCGGCUGAGUGGACUGUAAAAAACCUUUAGCCACGAAAGCGUGGGUAGUAAACGGGAUUAGAUUCCUGAUUAGGC